AGUGAACGCUGGCGGUAGACCUAACACAUGCAAGUCGAACGGCAGCACAGUAAGAGCUUGCUCUUACGGGUGGCGAGUGGCGGACGGGUGAGGAAUGCAUCGGAAUCUACUUUUUCGUGGGGGAUAACGUAGGGAAACUUACGCUAAUACCGCAUACGACCUACGGGUGAAAGCAGGGGAUCUUCGGACCUUGCGCGAUUGAAUGAGCCGAUGUCGGAUUAGCUAGUUGGCGGGGUAAAGGCCCACCAAGGCGACGAUCCGUAGCUGGUCUGAGAGGAUGAUCAGCCACACUGGAACUGAGACACGGUCCAGACUCCUACGGGAGGCAGCAGUGGGGAAUAUUGGACAAUGGGCGCAAGCCUGAUCCAGCCAUACCGCGUGGGUGAAGAAGGCCUUCGGGUUGUAAAGCCCUUUUGUUGGGAAAGAAAAGCAGCAGGUUAAUACCCCGCUGUUCUGACGGUACCCAAAGAAUAGGCACCGGCUAACUUCGUG
Molecule: ribosomal RNA, 492 nt
Filed under: uncultured bacterium
Lineage: Bacteria
Description: partial 16S ribosomal RNA
Rfam family: Bacterial small subunit ribosomal RNA
Source: RNAcentral